RNAcentral lists this ribosomal RNA (561 nucleotides) under Parasesarma bidens (red claw crab). RNAcentral's name for it is "partial large subunit ribosomal RNA". The stretch from base 409 to 561 matches the Rfam family "Bacterial large subunit ribosomal RNA", at positions 2473 to 2625 of the family's 2925-position model. Lineage: Eukaryota; Metazoa; Arthropoda; Malacostraca; Decapoda; Sesarmidae. The record is from RNAcentral.
GUCUAUUUGUAGAUAUAAAAAGUCUAGCCUGCUCACUGAAUUAUUUUUAAGAGCCGCGGUAUUUCUGACUGUGCAAAGGUAGCAUAAUCGUUAGUUUUUUAAUUGAAAUCUUGUAUGAAUGGUUUGACAAAAAAAAGACUGUCUUUAUUAUUAUUAAUUGAAUUUAACUUUUAAGUGAAAAGGCUUAAAUAAAUUAAAAAGACGAUAAGACCCUAUAAAGCUUUAUAUUAAUUUAUUACUUAAUAAAAUUUUAUUUUAUAAAUAUUUGGUAAUGAAUUUUAUUUUAUUGGGGUGAUAAUGGUAAAAUGAUUAAUAACUGUUAAUUUCGUUAAGACAAAAAUAAAUGAGUAAAAUAAAUGAUUCAAUAAAUGAUCCUAUUUAAAGAUUUAAAGUUUAAGUUACUUUAGGGAUAACAGCGUAAUUUUUUUUGAGAGUUCUUAUCGAGAAAAAAGUUUGCGACCUCGAUGUUGAAUUAAAAUAUCUAUAUAAUUGUAGCAGUUAUAUAAGAAGGUCUGUUCGACCUUUAAAUUUUUACAUGAUUUGAGUUCAAACCGGUGUAAG